Molecule: long non-coding RNA, 1578 nt
Filed under: Musa acuminata (dwarf banana)
Lineage: Eukaryota; Viridiplantae; Streptophyta; Magnoliopsida; Zingiberales; Musaceae
Description: long non-coding RNA (MACU_LNC010173)
Source: RNAcentral
UAUAUAUAUAUAUAUAUAUAUAUAUAUGCGUAUUGCUCGGUACACCCUAGCAUAUUGCUCGGUUCAACAUACCGUACUUCAUGGAUAUAUUAUAAAAAUGAUUUUAUGGCUUUUUUAUGUUUUGGUGAGUCUUAAGAAUAGGUGCGAACACAUAAUUUAAUACAUCAAGAACACAUGCAUGAUAAAUAUCAUGACCAUAAUAAGAACCCAGUUAAUGAAAGAACACAAAAGCUCAAGUAUUAAACUCAAUUAUUGAUAUAACAUGAUAAUACAAGUAUAAUACGUGAUCCAUCAAGUGUCAGAUCAGUAUGACAUUAGCCUAAUGACCUAAAACCUACAUGCAUGGUUACUAACAACAUCAAGGUCAAUGUCACGUGUGUUUUGGAAUACUGGUUAUAUGUCAUAUAAUGUAUUGUGCUAUUGUCAAAUGAGGUGACUGUAACAUACAAAGAUCAGUAUGACAUUAGCCUAAUGGCCUAAAACCUACAUGCAUAGUUUCUAACAACAUCAAGGUCAUUGUCACAGUGUGUUUUGGUAUACUGGUCGUAUGUCAUGUCUCUCAUGCUAUUGUCAAAUGAGGUGACUGUAACUUACAAAGAUCAGUAUGACAUUAGCCUAAUGGCCUAAAACCUACAUGCAUGGUUACAAUAUCAAGGUCAAUGUCACGUGUGUUUGAUAUACUGGUUGUAUGUCAUAUGAUGUAUCAUGCUAUUAUCAAAUGAGGUGACUGUAACGUACAAUAGUUUGUGUUCAGCUAACUGACAUAAGGGUUGAUAAUAGAACUCAGAUUGGGUAGAGGUUCCCUAGAAUAAAGGAUGAGUAUUAUUGAUAAAUAUACCCGGGGACCAAGUGAGUCAAUUAACAUGGACUUUCUGUAGGUACUGUAAGAUGGUGCACUAACUCAUGAACAUCACUCUGCCAAUGUAGGUGGGAACAUACAGAUUUUGCAGAGUGGGAUCAUGGGUCAACAUCAUAUGUUUUCUAGAGUCCAUCUUGGUAUAAUGACAGAGACCUUUAUGAAUUCUUGGUCUUGAAAUUGGUGUUGCUAUCCCACUUGUUUUCAAAGUCAUUUAUGGCCUUUCCCUUCUUUUCUGUCUCUUGUGACUCAUAGUAGCAGCUGCCAAAAGGGUGGAAAGUAGUGGCAAGCAACAGUAACCUCUUUGCAUCCAUCAGAGGCAGGGAAGAAGAAAAGAGAAGAGAAUGACAUUAGGGAGCUUGUUAUGAUGGCCUAUGCUUUCUGCACCUGGUGUUUCUUCUGCACAGGCAACAAGGGGGAUGGUAAGAUGAGCAAGAGAGCAGAUAGAUGAGAAGAACACAGAGAGUCUUAAUCCUUGAGUCUUUUGUUACUUAUUGAUGUGACGUCCUUUCCUAUCUAUAUAGCUUUUGGAGCUAUUUGACUUUGUGGUAGACUUCUAAACUGCUUCUUUAAAGUUGUUGGCCAGAUAGCCUGACUAUUUAUUCGAACCAAGGUAAGCAAUACCGAAUAAUACCGUCUGGUACGGGCGGUAUGUACCGAUCCAACAGUAAAUCGGUACACGGACCGUCCGUUAACGGGCGGAACGAAUAAUAAUAAUAAAA